RNAcentral lists this ribosomal RNA (486 nucleotides) under uncultured bacterium. Its description in RNAcentral is "partial 16S ribosomal RNA". It matches the Rfam family "Bacterial small subunit ribosomal RNA", at positions 36 to 507 of the family's 1533-position model. The record is from RNAcentral.
CUGGCGGCGUGCUUAACACAUGCAAGUCGAACGGUGAAGCGCCUUCCUUUUUGGUGGGUGUGGAUGAGUGGCGAACGGGUGAGUAACACGUGAGUAACCUGCCCCCUUCUUCUGGAUAACCGCAUGAAAGUGUGGCUAAUACGGGAUAUUCUGGGUCUGUCGCAUGAUGGGUCUGGGAAAGAUAUUGUUUCGGUGGGGGAUGGGCUCGCGGCCUAUCAGCUUGUUGGUGGGGUGAUGGCCUACCAAGGCGGUGACGGGUAGCCGGCCUGAGAGGGUGGACGGUCACACUGGGACUGAGACACGGCCCAGACUCCUACGGGAGGCAGCAGUGGGGAAUAUUGCACAAUGGGCGCAAGCCUGAUGCAGCGACGCCGCGUGAGGGAUGGAGGCCUUCGGGUUGUGAACCUCUUUCGCCAGUGAAGCAGGCCUGCCUCGUUUGUGGGUGGGUUGACGGUAGCUGGAUAAGAAGCGCCGGCUAACUACGUG